Molecule: unclassified non-coding RNA, 394 nt
Filed under: Hevea brasiliensis (rubber tree)
Lineage: Eukaryota; Viridiplantae; Streptophyta; Magnoliopsida; Malpighiales; Euphorbiaceae
Source: RNAcentral
UUUAAUGUCCCUUCUUCUAAGGUAUGAAAAGAGAUUGCCUAUAUUGUUUUUUUCUACUAUUGCUUCUUCGAGAUUUAAUGCGUAUUCUGUCAUUCAGUAAUGCUAUAUAUGUUGCUCCUAUACUUUGCCGUCUUAAUGCUACUUGCAUAGGAUUUCUUUUGUAACCCAAUUGUAGCUGCAUAAUGUAGUACCCAGUGAGAAAAUUCUUUUAAUGCCUAAUGUUGUUUGUAUCUUUGAUGAUAAAAAAGAAUAUCUAUGCAUAACUUUCUGUUACGUUGGUCAGUUGUAAAUUUCUUUGUUAGCUUAUAUGUAACUGAACAAUUUAUUGUCUAAAGCUGCAUAAAUUCUAUGAUCCUGUCUGAUAAUUCUUUCCUUGGACGCUAACAUCUUGCAG